Molecule: ribosomal RNA, 561 nt
Filed under: Agromyces sp. CH90
Lineage: Bacteria; Bacillati; Actinomycetota; Actinomycetes; Micrococcales; Microbacteriaceae
Description: bacterial SSU rRNA
Rfam family: Bacterial small subunit ribosomal RNA
Source: RNAcentral
UGGCGAACGGGUGAGUAACACGUGAGUAACCUGCCCUGGACUCUGGGAUAACCCCGAGAAAUCGGAGCUAAUACCGGAUAGGACCUUUCCCUGCAUGGGGUUUGGUGGAAAGUUUUUCGGUUUGGGAUGGACUCGCGGCCUAUCAGCUUGUUGGUGAGGUAAUGGCUCACCAAGGCGUCGACGGGUAGCCGGCCUGAGAGGGUGACCGGCCACACUGGGACUGAGACACGGCCCAGACUCCUACGGGAGGCAGCAGUGGGGAAUAUUGCACAAUGGGCGCAAGCCUGAUGCAGCAACGCCGCGUGCGGGAUGACGGCCUUCGGGUUGUAAACCGCUUUUAGUAAGGAAGAAGGGGAGCUUGCUCCUUGACGGUACUUGCAGAAAAAGGACCGGCUAACUACGUGCCAGCAGCCGCGGUAAUACGUAGGGUCCGAGCGUUGUCCGGAAUUAUUGGGCGUAAAGAGCUCGUAGGCGGUUUGUCGCGUCUGCUGUGAAAUCCCGAGGCUCAACCUCGGGCCUGCAGUGGGUACGGGCAGACUUGAGUGGUGUAGGGGAGACUGG